GACGAACGCUGGCGGCGUGCUUAACACAUGCAAGUCGAACGAUGAAGAAGAGAAACGCGAACUUCGGUUCAACUUUCACUUCGGAUUAGUGGCAGACGGGUGAGUAACGCGUGAGCAACCUACCUCUUACAAAGGGAUAGCCUCGGGAAACCGUGAUUAAUACCAUAUGACACAUUCAUAAGGCAUCUUAAGAAUGUUAAAGCUACGGCGGUAAGAGAUGGGCUCGCGUCCCAUUAGCUAGUUGGUGAGGUAACGGCCGACCAAGGCGACGAUGGGUAACCGGCCUGAGAGGGUGAACGGUCACAUUGGAACUGAGACACGGUCCAAACUCCUACGGGAGGCAGCAGUGGGGAAUAUUGCACAAUGGAGGGAACUCUGAUGCAGCGACGCCGCGUGAGCGAUGAAGGAAUUCGUUUCGUAAAGCUCUGUUCUAUGGGAAGAAAAGGACUGUACCAUAGGAGAAAGCCCCGGCUAAAUACGUG
RNAcentral lists this ribosomal RNA (482 nucleotides) under uncultured bacterium. RNAcentral's name for it is "partial 16S ribosomal RNA". It matches the Rfam family "Bacterial small subunit ribosomal RNA", at positions 28 to 507 of the family's 1533-position model. The record is from RNAcentral.